Molecule: ribosomal RNA, 253 nt
Filed under: uncultured bacterium
Lineage: Bacteria
Description: partial 16S ribosomal RNA
Rfam family: Bacterial small subunit ribosomal RNA
Source: RNAcentral
UACGGAGGGUGCAAGCGUUGCUCGGAAUUAUUGGGCGUAAAGGGUAGGUAGGUGGUCUCAUUUGUCUGGGGUGAAAGCCUUGAGCUUAACUCAAGAAGUGCCCCAGAAACGGUGAGACUGGAGUCCUGGAGAGGGUCGUGGAAUUCCCGGUGUAGCGGUGAAAUGCGUAGAGAUCGGGAGGAACACCAGUGGCGAAGGCGGCUCACUGGCCCGGUACUGACGCUGAGGUGCGAAAGCGUGGGGAGCAAACAGG